GAAGUGUGAAUUCUGGGCGGAGCCCUAAUCGUGUUAAGGCAUACGUAUUUUUAAAGUCAAACAUUUAAAGUUGUAGUCGGUCUUAAAAACAAGAUGAAUCGGCCGCUCGGAGACGGAAAAUUGUGCUUAAGUUUUAUUCAAGUUGAUUCUAAUAAUGUUUGCACUGAUGUAAACAAAUUAGUUAAUAGCAGUUUUAAAUUUUCAAUUGAUAAAAAUGAGAAAAAUACUAAAAUUGAAAACACUGGACGAUUAGGACUUUUUAGUAUUGACAACAUAUUGAGUAACUCAGAUUCUUAUUCAAAAUUAAAUUGUCGAACUAAGGAUAAUACUACUACCUUUAUACAGCCGGCAAGCGAAUCUAAAGAUGUUGAAGCGUUCCACUCGAUUCAGCAAAUUCAAAUUAAGAAGAUAUUAUACGAAAAUAUUGCUUUAAAAAACGGAAGCUGCCCUCAAUUACCAUUGACAAAUGAUAUGAAUAAUGGGUCCUCUUCUGAUUGCCAAUCGAAAAAUGUUCUUCCAGCUCAUAUUACUAAUCCGAUAAAAUUUCAAGGAAAUCAAUUUAAAUAUCAGCUUACUGACAGAAAGCCUCGCCAAGCCUAUAAUGCCUCUCAGUUGGAUCGUCUCGAAAAAGAAUUCAUUAUAGACAAAUAUCUUAGCGUUAGUAAA
Drosophila elegans is the source of this 666-nucleotide long non-coding RNA. RefSeq lists it as uncharacterized. The record is from RefSeq and is a predicted model, not a curated record. The transcript is spliced from 3 exons. Lineage: Eukaryota; Metazoa; Arthropoda; Insecta; Diptera; Drosophilidae.